UGGGAACGUGCCCAAAGGUACGGAACAACUCCGGGAAACUGGAGCUAAUACCGUAUGUGCCCGAAAGGGGAAAGAUUCAUCGCCUUUGGAUCGGUCCGCGUCUGAUUAGCUAGUUGCGGGGUAAUGGCCCACCAAGGCGACGAUCAGUAGCUGGUCUGAGAGGAUGACCAGCCACACUGGGACUGAGACACGGCCCAGACUCCUACGGGAGGCAG
RNAcentral lists this ribosomal RNA (215 nucleotides) under uncultured bacterium. Its description in RNAcentral is "partial 16S ribosomal RNA". It matches the Rfam family "Bacterial small subunit ribosomal RNA", at positions 118 to 351 of the family's 1533-position model. The record is from RNAcentral.